RNAcentral lists this ribosomal RNA (448 nucleotides) under uncultured bacterium. RNAcentral describes it as "partial 16S ribosomal RNA". It matches the Rfam family "Bacterial small subunit ribosomal RNA", at positions 29 to 523 of the family's 1533-position model. The record is from RNAcentral.
AAUGAACGCUGGCGGCACGCCUAACACAUGCAAGUCGAACGAAGGCUUCGGCCUUAGUGGCGCACGGGUGCGUAACGCGUGGGAAUCUGCCCUUGGGUUCGGAAUAACUCGGAGAAAUCCGUGCUAAUACCGGAUGAUGACGUAAGUCCAAAGAUUUAUCGCCCAAGGAUGAGCCCGCGUAGGAUUAGCUAGUUGGUGGGGUAAAGGCCCACCAAGGCGACGAUCCUUAGCUGGUCUGAGAGGAUGAUCAGCACACUGGGACUGAGACACGGCCCAGACUCCUACGGGAGGCAGCAGUGGGGAAUAUUGGACAAUGGGCGAAAGCCUGAUCCAGCAAUGCCGCGUGAGUGAUGAAGGCCUUAGGGUUGUAAAGCUCUUUUACCCGGGAUGAUAAUGACAGUACCGGGAGAAUAAGCUCCGGCUAACUUCGUGCCAGCCGCCGCGGUAA